GUAAAAGAACUUAAUGUUUAAAGACAUUUGGGUUCUUAUUAGAGAUUAAAAAGUACAACCAGGCAAAUCUCUGAAGAGUAGAAUCAGCUCAGUGGCUCGAUACGUGGAAAAAUGAGACAACUGCGGGUUAUUUUUCAUCUGAUAUAUGUGAGCUUUUAUCAGUUUCACCCCAAAAACUGUAUAUCCAUCUAUCUUUUUGUUUUGAGCUGUGCCUUUCUGCUGUAUAAAUAUAAAAAGUGCAUAUAUUAAAAUUUUCCCCUACAGUGUAUUAACCUCAACCAGUAAGCAUAUAUAUUACAGAUACUGCUGAAAUGAACCUUUAAGUUUCACUAAAACUUUUAGUCUCUUUAGAUUCUGGGCAGCUUUUAUUUAAUUUAAAACAUUUUUAGUUGAAAUUACAAAUCAGAUUUUGUUUAUUUAUCGUACACAUUAUGUGUGGAUCACAACAAUACGCUCUGGUGAAGAGUUUAUCAAACGUGAUUCAAUCUGUCUUGUUUGUGUUGUUAGUGAUUCCUUUACAGAUGUAUCUGUAUAUUCAAUGUUUAGCCACGGUAACUGGAGCCAUGUUUUGUACACUGUUAAUUAAAUUCAUGUGGUUUUGUAUUCUUUUUGCUCUUAUGUUUUGGGUGUUUCCCACCUUUUCUGAAAUAAUUAACUAUUAUUUACACUAAGUAAGAUAGAAUAGAUUUGGCAGAGAAACAAUUAGUUUUUAGAUUUAAUAGUAGUAUAAGAAUUUUCUGAAGUUUUUGUAGGUUGAAAUAAAAAAGGGAAAAGAUGGACACAUUUCUAGAGGACUUUUUAUAGUGAGACACCUCCUGAGGAAGAAGGGAGAAGACUGGACCUGGAAGAUUUCUCCAUUCAUCAUCUAAUCCAACUUAAACGUGCAGCAUCACGGAAAGGCGGACAGGUUCCACGCCUGGGAUAUGGCAACACAAACAGGACAAACAACAAAGCUAAACAGGAGGACGACAAUCUUUGGAAUAUCGCCUGAACAGAUGUGAAAGAUUUCUAAGGCAGAGCCCCACAACCCUAGAUCUAUUGGAAACAUAUUUAGUCCAAAGACAGAUGGAGACACAUCAUUCAAAGACGUCCCUGUCCUCUGAAGCUAUGAGCCGAGACUCCCCGUGAUGCAAAGUGAAGAACGAUUCUGGUUUCAGUCCCUUCUGUUUCAAGGCCUCUCUGAGACGAACUGGAGGCUCCAGAGACUCCAGCAUGGGAUGGCGAUGCUUCUGCGUUUAAUUUUCUCACCGUUAUGUUCAGCUGCUAAAGAUAAAACCCCCAGACUUAAGGCAAGGGCGAAGGUCCCCCAGUGUAUGGCGACAGACUGUUUAGCCUGAAGGUCCUGAUGAAUUUGAACAGCCUCCUCUGGAUCCACAUGCUGCCCCUGCAUCACAUCCCUGAAACACCAACAGGAAUCCUGCUUAAUAUUCUGUUUGAAAUAAAAUGCUAAAACU
This is a long non-coding RNA of Cyprinodon tularosa, 1454 nucleotides long. RefSeq lists it as uncharacterized. The transcript has 6 exons. NCBI's taxonomy places the organism in Eukaryota, Metazoa, Chordata, Actinopteri, Cyprinodontiformes, Cyprinodontidae. The record is from RefSeq and is a predicted model, not a curated record.